AAGACAACAAGGAUAUCCUAUUUCAUCGGAUGUAUUUUGCCAAUUCAAGGACAAAGCAGGAAAGUUUAAGGAAAGCAUUGUGAAUGACGUAGAAGGAAUGCUGAGCUUGUAUGAAGCAUCCCAAUUAAGAUUCCAUGGAGAAGAGAUACUGGAAGAGGCAUAUAGUUUCACUCUCAUUGAGUUAACUAAGUCAUUAACUACCAAAUUAAGUCCCUUUCUUUCUGGGUUAGUGCACCAUAGCAUAGGACAAGCAUUUCGCAAGGGAAUGCCUAGGUUGGAGGCAAGAUAUUAUAUAUCUUUCUACCAACAAGAUCCCUCACAUAAUGAAUGUUUGUUAACCUUUGCAAAACUAGAUUUUAAUAUGUUGCAGAAGCUCCAUCAAAAAGAAGUCAGCAGCGUGACCAAGUGGUGGGUUAAAGAUUUGAAUGUCUCGACCAAUUUUCCGUUUGUACGAGAUAGGAUGGUGGAAGGUUGCUUUUGGAUUGUUGGAGUCUAUUAUGAGCCGCAGUAUUGUCUAGCUAGAAGAAUACUGAGUAAAGUAGUUGCCAUGAUAUCCAUAAUUGAUGAUGUGUAUGAUGCCUAUGGAACCAUUGAUGAACUGGAGAUUUUCACCAAUGCAAUAGAAAGGUGGGAUAUCUCCUCAUUGGUUGAUCUCCCGGAAUAUAUGAAAUUAUGUUAUAAGGCACUUUUGGAUAUUUUUGAAGAAACAGAGCAGGAGUUGAGAAUGCAAGGAAAAGAAUACUUCGUCAAGUAUUCUAAAAAAGAAGUGAAAAGAUUAAUCCAAGCAUACCUUAGUGAGUCAAGAUGGUUUCAUACAAACCACACACCAACAGUAGAAGAGUAUAUGGAAGUUGCAACUGUGACAAGCACUUAUGCUAUGUUGACAACUGUAUCUUUCUUGGGCAUGGAAGACACAACAGAGGAGGUCCUCAUAUGGGCAACGAGUCACCCAAAAAUUAUUGAAGCUGCUUCAAUUAUUUCUAGGCUCAUGGAUGACAUUGUUGGAAGUGAGUUUGAGCAUGAAAGAGGGCACGUUGUGUCAAGCGUAGAUUGCUAUAUGAAGCAAUAUAAUAGUUCAAGGCAAAAUGCGAUUAAAGAACUGUAUAAGUUGGUGGAGAGUGGUUGGAAGGAUAUUAAUGAGGAAUGCCUUAAUCCUACUCAAGUACCAAUGAAGUUUCUCAUGCGUGUUCUCAACCUUGCACGAAUGAUGGACGUCCUUUACAAAGAACAAGAUAAUUAUACACAUUCAGGAGGAAUAAUGAAGGAUUAUAUCAAAGCUUUAUUAGUUAAUAAGGUGCCCUUGCA
RNAcentral lists this small RNA (1305 nucleotides) under Vigna angularis var. angularis. Its description in RNAcentral is "Non-protein coding transcript". Lineage: Eukaryota; Viridiplantae; Streptophyta; Magnoliopsida; Fabales; Fabaceae. The record is from RNAcentral.